This 500-nucleotide ribosomal RNA is filed under the name uncultured bacterium. RNAcentral's name for it is "partial 16S ribosomal RNA". It matches the Rfam family "Bacterial small subunit ribosomal RNA", at positions 30 to 523 of the family's 1533-position model. The record is from RNAcentral.
AUUGAACGCUGGCGGCAUGCUUUACACAUGCAAGUCGAACGGUAACAGGGUGCUUGCACCGCUGACGAGUGGCGAACGGGUGAGUAAUGCGUCGGAACGUGCCGAGUAGUGGGGGAUAACGCAGCGAAAGUUGUGCUAAUACCGCAUACGUACUGAGGUAGAAAGUGGGGGACCUUCGGGCCUCACGCUAUUCGAGCGGCCGACGUCUGAUUAGCUAGUAGGUGAGGUAAAGGCUCACCUAGGCGACGAUCAGUAGCGGGUCUGAGAGGAUGAUCCGCCACACUGGGACUGAGAAACGGCCCAGACUCCUACGGGAGGCAGCAGUGGGGAAUUUUGGACAAUGGGCGAAAGCCUGAUCCAGCCAUGCCGCGUGUCUGAAGAAGGCCUUCGGGUUGUAAAGGACUUUUGUCAGGGAGGAAAUCCCUAGUGCUAAUAACACUGGGGGAUGACAGUACCUGAAGAAUAAGCACCGGCUAACUUCGUGCCAGCCGCCGCAGUAA